GGACCCGUAGUCUAGCUUGGAUAGGACGUUGGCCUGCGAAGCCAGAGACCUGGGGUUCAAAUCCCCACGGGUCCA
RNAcentral lists this transfer RNA (75 nucleotides) under Candidatus Bathyarchaeota archaeon. Its description in RNAcentral is "tRNA-Arg". It matches the Rfam family "tRNA". From Rfam's summary of the family: Transfer RNA (tRNA) molecules are approximately 80 nucleotides in length. Their secondary structure includes four short double-helical elements and three loops (D, anti-codon, and T loops). The record is from RNAcentral. Lineage: Archaea; Thermoproteati; Candidatus Bathyarchaeota.